Molecule: ribosomal RNA, 910 nt
Filed under: uncultured bacterium
Lineage: Bacteria
Description: bacterial SSU rRNA
Rfam family: Bacterial small subunit ribosomal RNA
Source: RNAcentral
AGAGUUUGAUCAUGGCUCAGAUUGAACGCUGGCGGAAUGCUUUACACAUGCAAGUCGAACGGCAGCACGGGGCAACCUGGUGGCGAGUGGCGAACGGGUGAGUAGUACAUCGGAACGUGCCCAGUCGUGGGGGAUAACGCAGCGAAAGCUGUGCUAAUACCGCAUACGAUCUACGGAUGAAAGCGGGGGACCGUAAGGCCUCGCGCGAUUGGAGCGGCCGAUGGCAGAUUAGGUAGUUGGUGGGGUAAAGGCUCACCAAGCCGACGAUCUGUAGCUGGUCUGAGAGGACGACCAGCCACACUGGGACUGAGACACGGCCCAGACUCCUACGGGAGGCAGCAGUGGGGAAUUUUGGACAAUGGGCGCAAGCCUGAUCCAGCCAUUCCGCGUGCAGGAUGAAGGCCCUCGGGUUGUAAACUGCUUUUGUACGGAACGAAAAGCCUUCUUCUAAUACAGGAGGGUCAUGACGGUACCGUAAGAAUAAGCACCGGCUAACUACGUGCCAGCAGCCGCGGUAAUACGUAGGGUGCAAGCGUUAAUCGGAAUUACUGGGCGUAAAGCGUGCGCAGGCGGUGAUGUAAGACAGAUGUGAAAUCCCCGGGCUCAACCUGGGAACUGCAUUUGUGACUGCAUCGCUGGAGUGCGGCAGAGGGGGAUGGAAUUCCGCGUGUAGCAGUGAAAUGCGUAGAUAUGCGGAGGAACACCGAUGGCGAAGGCAAUCCCCUGGGCCUGCACUGACGCUCAUGCACGAAAGCGUGGGGAGCAAACAGGAUUAGAUACCCUGGUAGUCCACGCCCUAAACGAUGUCAACUGGUUGUUGGGUCUUCACUGACUCAGUAACGAAGCUAACGCGUGAAGUUGACCGCCUGGGGAGUACGGCCGCAAGGGUUGAAACUCAAGGAAUUGACGG